UUAUAAAAGUUGAUUUAGGGUAAGGUAAACAGGGGAGGGAUCGAUUGAUUGUUGGUGAAUUGCAGGUUGGAUAAUUUGGCGCCAACAGAUUCCCUCAUUUCACUCACACUCUCCUGCUUUAUGAUAUCAACGACGUCGAUUGCAGAUCAUAAAUGGAACCUACAAACAGCGUAUUCGUUAGGGGUACUAGAAAUAAGAAUGACUUCACUUGGGUAGAUUUAUGAAGCAAAGCGGCUCCCUGGGUACAAGUUAGUGAUUUAAACUUCUUAUCGUGUAGGGUUGGCAGGUUGAAUAGUUGAACCCAAACACGACCCAUGUAUUUAUUCAUGUCAAAGACUUAUAGACCUCAACCCAACAUGGUCCGUUUAACUCAUUCAUCUAAAGUCUAAACGAGUCAAAUGGGUUGGCAGAUUAAACAUGUAACUUUAAGCAUGACGUGGUACAUGCCAACCUGAAUUCGACUCAUUUAUUUAAACGGGUUAAACAUGCCACC
RNAcentral lists this long non-coding RNA (493 nucleotides) under Helianthus annuus (common sunflower). RNAcentral's name for it is "hypothetical non coding rna". The record is from RNAcentral. Lineage: Eukaryota; Viridiplantae; Streptophyta; Magnoliopsida; Asterales; Asteraceae.